AGAGUUUGAUCCUGGCUCAAGAUGAACGCUAGCGGCAGGCUUAACACAUGCAAGUCGAGGGGCAGCAUGUCCAGUAAUGGAUGAUGGCGACCGGCGGAAGGGUGCGUAACGCGUGAGCAACAUGCCCUAUACAGGGAGAUACACCAGGGAAACUUGGUCUAAUAUCCCAUAGCAUUCAUUGAAGGCAUCUUUAAUGAAUUAAAGCUUCGGUGGUAUAGGAUUGGCUCGCGUGACAUUAGCCAGAUGGUGAGGUACCGGCUCACCAUAGCAAUGAUGUCUAGGGGUUUUGAGAGGAAGGCCCCCCACACUGGGACUGAGACACGGCCCAGACUCCUACGGGAGGCAGCAGUGAGGAAUAUUGGACAAUGGAUGGAAAUCUGAUCCAGCCAUGCCGCGUGCAGGAAGACGGCCUUAUGGGUUGUAAACUGCUUUUAUACGGGAGCAAUAAGGGUUACGAGUAAUCCGAUGAGAGUACUGUAUGAAUAAGGAUCGGCUAACUCCGUGCCAGCAGCCGCGGUAAUACGGAGGAUCCGAGCGUUAUCCGGAAUUAUUGGGUUUAAAGGGUGCGUAGGCGGCCAUUUAAGUCAGCGGUGAAAUUUUGCAGCUUAACUGUAACAGUGCCGUUGAUACUGUUUGGCUAGGAUUUGGUUGUAGUGUGCGGAAUGUGUGGUGUAGUGGUGAAAUGCGCAGAUAUCUGGAGGAACACCAGUGGCGAAGGCGGCCUCCUGGACCAUUCCUGACACUCAGACGCGAAAGCUAGGGUAGCAAACGGAAUUAGAGACUCCGGUAGUCCUAGCCCUAAACG
RNAcentral lists this ribosomal RNA (805 nucleotides) under uncultured bacterium. Its description in RNAcentral is "bacterial SSU rRNA". It matches the Rfam family "Bacterial small subunit ribosomal RNA", at positions 8 to 808 of the family's 1533-position model. The record is from RNAcentral.